Molecule: small RNA, 172 nt
Filed under: Pongo abelii (Sumatran orangutan)
Lineage: Eukaryota; Metazoa; Chordata; Mammalia; Primates; Hominidae
Description: sense overlapping
Source: RNAcentral
AUGUCAUAAAAGUUUCCAAACAAUCCCUUGGUCUUGUAUCCUCCAAAUUUGUUUACUGAAUAUAGGGAUGACAUGUAAAUUAAAUAUGCAAAUUGAUUUAAAAAAAUGUAGGGGGGAAAAUAAGAAAAAAUAUAUAUAACAAAAAAAGAAUUUUACUGCAGCUGAAAAAGAA